RNAcentral lists this ribosomal RNA (1925 nucleotides) under Chloroflexota bacterium. RNAcentral's name for it is "Chloroflexi bacterium partial 23S ribosomal RNA". It matches the Rfam family "Bacterial large subunit ribosomal RNA", at positions 1102 to 2925 of the family's 2925-position model. The record is from RNAcentral. Lineage: Bacteria; Bacillati; Chloroflexota.
UGGCUUAGAAGCAGCCACCCUUGAAAGAGUGCGUAACAGCUCACUGGUCGAGUGGCCCUGCGCGGACAAUGUAACGGGGCUUAAGUACAGAGCCGAAACUGCGGAUGUCUGUGUAAACAGGCAUGGUAGCGGAGCGUCGAUCUUGGUGUGAAGCGCCGGUGUGAACCGUCGUGGACCGUGGUCGAGUGCGAAUGCAGGUAUGAGUAGCGAAAGAGGGGUGAGAAACCCCUCCACCGGAAGUCCAAGGGUUCCUGGGGAAGGCUAAUCCUCCCAGGGUAAGUCGGGAGCUAAGGCGAGGCCGAUAGGCGUAGUCGAUGCACAACCGGUUGAUAUUCCGGUACCACCAAGUGCGCGUCCAUGCAAAAGCGAGAUUGCUAAGAGGAUGCCUGGCGCCCCACGAAGGGGCAAUAGGUCGAAUCGACCCAUCUCGUGGCUGCAAGCAAUGCGGGGACACAGUAAGGUAGGUGAGCCCAGGCGAUGGUUGUCCUGGGGUAAGCGUGUAGGAGGAGGACCAGGCAAGUCCGGGCCUCAUAAACUCUGAGACGCGACGCCGAACCGCUAUAGGUGAAGUCACUGAUCCUAUGCUGUCGAGAAAAGCCGCUAGCGAGCUCACUCGGUGCCCGUACCCCAAACCAACUCAGGUGGACAGGUAGAGAAUACCAAGGUGAUUGGGUGAACUAUGGUUAAGGAACUCGGCAAAUUGCGUCCGUAACCUCGGGAGAAGGACGACUCCAAUAGGGUGACGGCCCUUAGCGGCCCGAGCUCGAAGGAGUGGCACAAACCAGGGGGAAGCGACUGUUUACUAAAAACACAGCAGCGUGCGAAGCCGCAAGGCGAUGUAUACGCUGUGACGCCUGCCCGGUGCUGGAAGGUUACGGGGAAAGGUUAGCCUCCGGGCGAAGCUUUGAACCUAAGCCCCAGUAAACGGCGGCCGUAACUAUAACGGUCCUAAGGUAGCGAAAUUCCUUGUCGGGUAAGUUCCGACCUGCACGAAUGGCGUAACGACUUCCCUACUGUCUCAACCAUAGACCCAGCGAAAUUGAAGUACGAGUAAAGAUGCUCGUUAGCUGCAGAAGGACGGAAAGACCCCGUGCACCUUUACUACAGUCUGGUAUUGGUUUUUGGUAUAGGUUGUGUAGGAUAGGUGGGAGACUUGGAAGCGAGGGCGCUAGCUCUCGUGGAGUCAACCUUGAAAUACCACCCUUUCUAUGCUGGGAAUCUAACCUAGAUCCGUUAUCCGGAUCAGGUACAGUGCCAGAUGGGUAGUUUGACUGGGGCGGUCGCCUCCCAAAAGGUAACGGAGGCGCCCAAAGGUUCCCUCAGCCUGGUCGGCCAUCAGGCGUUGAGUGCAAUGACACAAGGGAGCUUGACUGCGAGACGUACAUGUCGAGCAGGUGCGAAAGCAGGGCAUAGUGAUCCGGCGGUUGCGUGUGGAAGCGCCGUCGCUCAACGGAUAAAAGGUACCCCGGGGAUAACAGGCUCAUCUUCCCCAAGAGUCCAUAUCGACGGGAAGGUUUGGCACCUCGAUGUCGGCUCAUCGCAUCCUGGGGCUGAAGCAGGUCCCAAGGGUUGGGCUGUUCGCCCAUUAAAGCGGUACGCGAGCUGGGUUUAGAACGUCGUGAGACAGUUCGGUCCCUAUCCUCUGCAGCCGGAAGAGACUUGAGGAAAGCUGUCCCUAGUACGAGAGGACCGGGACGGACGCAGCUCUCGUGUGCCAGUUGUUCCGCCAGGAGCAUGGCUGGUUGGCGACCUGCGGAAGGGAUAACCGCUGAAAGCAUCUAAGCGGGAAGCCUGUUCCGAGAUGAGGUCUCUCACCGGGUAAGACCGGGUAAGGCCCGUGGCAGAACACCACGUUGAUAGGCCGGAAGUGUACGCACGGUGACGUGUUCAGCUGACCGGUACUAAUCGGCCGAGGGCUUGGUUCA